UCAAGAGAGCGUGAAACCGUUGGUAGGGAAGCUCUGGGCGCCGAGGCGGUCCGGCUCUUCGGAGUUCAGUCGGCGCGGUCGUCGUCGCUCCUGUGGGCGUCGUCGUGCCGGUGCAUUUUCCGUGGAGUCUCGGUGACCGUCAGCGAGGGGAGAGCCCGGUCGUGUUGGUCGCUGGUGGAGGAGGKGCCGUAGUCCGUCGUUCGSGAGGGUCUGCGGUCGUAAGCUCUUCGAGUGUCCGGUCGUGGSGUCGUYUCCCCGGGUGAGUCUCGGACGACUCSGUCGUCCACGGKGGUUGCAGGUGCGGGUCGCUKUCUCAGUGACGCGGGUCCUUCGUCGUCGAGUCGUUGGGGUGUGGGAAGGUGUCUCCAGGACCGGCUCCUCGCGGUGUCCCGUCUUGGGUGGGCCUCUCCGCCCGUUUCGUCCGGGCGUCGUCGGUUUCGUCUGCCGCGCCCAGGUCGCUGACGUUGAUUCGGUCCCCCGUGC
RNAcentral lists this small RNA (483 nucleotides) under Amphimedon sp. QM G333260. RNAcentral describes it as "partial large subunit ribosomal RNA". Lineage: Eukaryota; Metazoa; Porifera; Demospongiae; Haplosclerida; Niphatidae. The record is from RNAcentral.